RNAcentral lists this ribosomal RNA (253 nucleotides) under uncultured bacterium. RNAcentral describes it as "partial 16S ribosomal RNA". It matches the Rfam family "Bacterial small subunit ribosomal RNA", at positions 524 to 776 of the family's 1533-position model. The record is from RNAcentral.
UACGUAGGGGGCAAGCGUUGUCCGGAUUUAUUGGGCGUAAAGAGCGUGUAGGCGGCCAGACAAGUCUGCUGUGAAAACUCGAGGCUCAACCUCGAGCUGUCGGUGGAAACUGUCUGGCUAGAGUCCGGAAGAGGAGAGUGGAAUUCCUGGUGUAGCGGUGAAAUGCGCAGAUAUCAGGAAGAACACCUAUGGCGAAGGCAGGUCUCUGGGCCACUACUGACGCUGAGAAGCGAAAGCAUGGGGAGCGAACAGG